This 275-nucleotide unclassified non-coding RNA is filed under the name Hevea brasiliensis (rubber tree). The record is from RNAcentral. Lineage: Eukaryota; Viridiplantae; Streptophyta; Magnoliopsida; Malpighiales; Euphorbiaceae.
AGUAAUCCCAUUUCAUAAUCUUGCAUAGAAUGCCUUGAGACAAUGAACUCGUAGUGAGCAAAGGCGGAAUUGAUUCUAACUUGAAUACUAUUGAGAAAUCAAUCUCUUCCUUCAUACUACAAGAACAAGAAUGCAUGAGAUUCUCUUCUUUUCUCUCUCCAUAUCUAUGAGAACAACCUGCCUAGAAUCUCUUAACAGUGCCUCCAGAUUUCUCUACAAGGAUCUUUUUCACCUCCCAAGUAUUGGAUCUUUGAUCUUUCUACUGUUUUCAACUC